This 602-nucleotide long non-coding RNA is filed under the name Olea europaea (common olive). RNAcentral describes it as "long non-coding RNA (OEUR_LNC008152)". The record is from RNAcentral. Lineage: Eukaryota; Viridiplantae; Streptophyta; Magnoliopsida; Lamiales; Oleaceae.
ACACUUGAAAUCUCAAGUGAAAAAAUAUAAAAACAAACUGCAUUGAACUUCAUCUCCCCAUGCACCUGUUACUUUGCCUUGCAUGCUUUCAUAUUUGAUCUUGUAAAUUGAAAUAUAAAAGAUUAUUGCAUAUGUUACAGAUCAUCUGGCAGAAUGAAAGAAGUCGUUGAUUACAGAGUCCUAUCUCCAGGAGACCUAGCCAACUCUGUGAUGACUGAAGGGGGAUGGUCGGACUUCCUGGUAUUUCCCUGUCUUCUUCCUUCUUUGCCUUGCAUGCUUUCAUAUUUGAUCUUGUAAAUUGAAAUAUAAAAGAUUAUUGCAUAUGUUACAGAUCAUCUGGCAGAAUGAAAGAAGUCGUUGAUUACAGAGUCCUAUCUCCAGGAGACCUAGCCAACUCUGUGAUGACUGAAGGGGGAUGGUCGGACUUCCUGGUAUUUCCCUGUCUUCUUCCUUCAUCCUUCAUUCUAAUUUACUUGAUGCUUGCAAAGAAACGAUUAAUUAGAUUGGAGAAUAUGAGAUUGCUUCUAUUCUUUGAUCACCCUUUGUUCCACAUUAAUUCAAUUAAAAGACAAAUCUUAUAGUGGUUUACUCUUUUUAGUGCA